Molecule: ribosomal RNA, 759 nt
Filed under: uncultured cyanobacterium
Lineage: Bacteria; Bacillati; Cyanobacteriota
Description: bacterial SSU rRNA
Rfam family: Bacterial small subunit ribosomal RNA
Source: RNAcentral
GAUGAACGCUGGCGGUAUGCUUAACACAUGCAAGUCGAACGGUCCUUUCGGGGAUAGUGGCGGACGGGUGAGUAACGCGUGAGAAUCUGCCUUUAGGACGGGGACAACAGUUGGAAACGGCUGCUAAAACCCGAUGUGCCCUUCGGGGUGAAAUAUUUAUAGCCUGAAGAUGAGCUCGCGUCUGAUUAGCUAGUAGGUGAGGUAAAGGCUCACCUAGGCGACGAUCAGUAACUGGUCUGAGAGGAUGACCAGUCACACUGGGACUGAGACACGGCCCAGACUCCUACGGGAGGCAGCAGUGGGGAAUUUUCCGCAAUGGGCGCAAGCCUGACGGAGCAAUACCGCGUGAGGGAGGAAGGCUCUUGGGUCGUAAACCUCUUUUAUCAGGGAAGAACACAAUGACGGUACCUGAUGAAUCAGCAUCGGCUAACUCUGUGCCAGCAGCCGCGGUAAUACAGAGGAUGCAAGCGUUAUCCGGAAUUAUUGGGCGUAAAGCGUCCGCAGGUGGUUUUGAAAGUUUGCUGUCAAAGCGCGAGGCUCAACUUCGUAACGGCGGUGAAAACUUCAAGACUAGAGCUAGGUAGGGGUCACGGGAAUUCCCAGUGUAGCGGUGAAAUGCGUAGAUAUUGGGAAGAACACCAGCGGCGAAAGCGCGUGACUGGGCCUGAGCUGACACUCAUGGACGAAAGCUAGGGGAGCGAAAGGGAUUAGAUACCCCUGUAGUCCUAGCCGUAAACGAUGACAACUAGGUGUUGCCCG